GUGAUCGAAAGGUUAAAAGCACCUUGAAAAGGGAGUUAAAUAGCACGUGAAAUUGUUGAAAGGGAAGCGCUUGCGACCAGACUCGGCCGCGGAGGCUCAGCGGGCACUCGUUGCCCGUGCACUCCCCCGCGGUCGGGCCAGCAUCGGUUCUGGCGGCCGGUCAAAGGCCCCUGGAAUGUGUCGCCUCUCGGGGCGUCUUAUAGCCAGGGGUGCAAUGCGGCCUGCCGGGACCGAGGAACGCGCUUCGGCUCGGAUGCUGGCGUAAUGGUUGCAAGCGACCCGUCUUGAAACACGGACCAAGGAGUCUAACAUCCACGCGAGUGUUCGGGUGUCAAACCCGUGCGCGCAGUGAAAGCGAACGGAGGUGAGAUCCCCCCCUCGCGGGGGGCGCAUCAUCGACCGAUCCUGAAGUCUUCGGAUGGAUUUGAGUACGAGCGUGGCUGUGGGGACCCGAAAGAUGGUGAACUAUGCCUGAAUAGGGCGAAGCCAGAGGAAACUCUGGUGGAGGCUCGCAGCGGUUCUGACGUGCAAAUCGAUCGUCGAAUUUGGGUAUA
RNAcentral lists this unclassified non-coding RNA (554 nucleotides) under Helicoarthrosporum mellicola. Its description in RNAcentral is "sequence contains 28S rRNA gene". It matches the Rfam family "Eukaryotic large subunit ribosomal RNA", at positions 353 to 919 of the family's 3401-position model. Lineage: Eukaryota; Fungi; Ascomycota; Eurotiomycetes; Onygenales; Helicoarthrosporaceae. The record is from RNAcentral.